Molecule: ribosomal RNA, 301 nt
Filed under: uncultured bacterium
Lineage: Bacteria
Description: partial 16S ribosomal RNA
Rfam family: Bacterial small subunit ribosomal RNA
Source: RNAcentral
CAGCAGCCACGGUAAUACGAAGGGUGCAAGCGUUAAUCGGAAUUACUGGGCGUAAAGCGUGCGUAGGCGGUGAGUUAAGUCUGCUGUGAAAUCCCCGGGCUCAACCUGGGAAUGGCAGUGGAUACUGGCUCGCUAGAGUGUGUCAGAGGAUGGUGGAAUUCCCGGUGUAGCGGUGAAAUGCGUAGAGAUCGGGAGGAACAUCAGUGGCGAAGGCGGCCAUCUGGGACAACACUGACGCUGAGGCACGAAAGCGUGGGGAGCAAACAGGAUUAGAGACCCCCGUAGUCCCUGUCUCUUAUAA